AUUGAACGCUGGCGGCAGGCCUAACACAUGCAAGUCGAGCGGAUGAAGGGAGCUUGCUCCUGGAUUCAGCGGCGGACGGGUGAGUAAUGCCUAGGAAUCUGCCUGGUAGUGGGGGAUAACGUCCGGAAACGGGCGCUAAUACCGCAUACGUCCUGAGGGAGAAAGUGGGGGAUCUUCGGACCUCACGCUAUCAGAUGAGUCUAGGUCGGAUUAGCUAGUUGGUGGGGUAAAGGCCUACCAAGGCGACGAUCCGUAACUGGUCUGAGAGGAUGAUCAGUCACACUGGAACUGAGACACGGUCCAGACUCCUACGGGAGGCAGCAGUGGGGAAUAUUGGACAAUGGGCGAAAGCCUGAUCCAGCCAUGCCGCGUGUGUGAAGAAGGUCUUCGGAUUGUAAAGCACUUUAAGUUGGGAGGAAGGGCAGUAAGUUAAUACCUUGCUGUUCUGACGUUACCAACAGAAUAAGCACCGGCUAACUUCGUG
This 484-nucleotide ribosomal RNA is filed under the name uncultured bacterium. Its description in RNAcentral is "partial 16S ribosomal RNA". It matches the Rfam family "Bacterial small subunit ribosomal RNA", at positions 30 to 507 of the family's 1533-position model. The record is from RNAcentral.